Molecule: ribosomal RNA, 521 nt
Filed under: uncultured bacterium
Lineage: Bacteria
Description: bacterial SSU rRNA
Rfam family: Archaeal small subunit ribosomal RNA
Source: RNAcentral
AACCUCCGCAAUGUGAGAAAUCGCGACGGGGGGAUCCCAAGUGCCAUUCUUAACGGGAUGGCUUUUCAUUAGUGUAAAGAGCUUUUGGAAUAAGGGCUGGGCAAGACCGGUGCCAGCCGCCGCGGUAACACCGGCAGCUCUAGUGGUAGCAGUUUUUAUUGGGCCUAAAGCGUCCGUAGCCGGUUUAAUAAGUCUCUGGUGAAAUCCUGUAGCUUAACUGUGGGAAUUGCUGGAGAUACUAUUAGACUUGAGACCGGGAGAGGUUAGAGGUACUCCCAGGGUAGAGGUGAAAUUCUGUAAUCCUGGGAGGACCGCCUGUUGCGAAGGCGUCUAACUGGAACGGUUCUGACGGUGAGGGACGAAAGUUAGGGGCGCGAACCGGAUUAGAUACCCGGGUAGUCCUAACUGUAAACGAUGCGGACUUGGUGUUGGGGUGGCUUUGAGCUGCUCCAGUGCCGAGGGGAAGCUGUUAAGUCCGCCGCCUGGGAAGUACGGUCGCAAGACUGAAACUUAAAGGAAUU